AUGGUAACGACCGACUGGAUCUGUCUUUUUGCUGAUUCCAAAGCCCAGUGGGCUCUCAGGGCUCGUUGGAUCUUUAUGGCCUGAGGUGAUGGAAAACCGCAGCCGUAAAAUGGAGUCUCUGCUCUGCCCGGGCUGCCUCCAGGACCUGAAACCAGCCAGCAUGAAUUCAAAGCUCGGCAGCAUCUCUGAAGAGUGACGACAGCCUUCCUCAUCAGCGAGUAUCUGUUCUUCAUCACUUUGGC
Long non-coding RNA from Xiphophorus maculatus (southern platyfish), 242 nucleotides. RefSeq lists it as uncharacterized. The record is from RefSeq and is a predicted model, not a curated record. Lineage: Eukaryota; Metazoa; Chordata; Actinopteri; Cyprinodontiformes; Poeciliidae. The transcript is spliced from 3 exons.